Long non-coding RNA from Taeniopygia guttata (zebra finch), 1173 nucleotides. The record is from Ensembl. NCBI's taxonomy places the organism in Eukaryota, Metazoa, Chordata, Aves, Passeriformes, Estrildidae.
AAGUCUCUUAACAGGAGGUCUUGAUUACUUUUCCAUUUCCAAACCACACAUCAUAAUGGGGAUGGAAUGUGGUUACCAUAAAUUGUUGGUUUACAAAUCAUCACUGACUUGUUAGCAACAGCUAGGAUGUUAGAGUUAGAGCAACAGUUUGGAUGUGAUAAAAUAGCAAGGGCCCAUUUUUCAUGGCAUUGUUGGAAUGAAUAUAAAUGAAUUCUUCCCAGAGAUUCAUUGUGAGUGGAAUAGAGGUCUUGGGUUCAAAAUAGCAAAAUGCAUGCAUUCCACAACAAGACGGCUUUUCCUCGUCAGUCCACUGCUCAAUGGAGGAUUCAGAAAGAAGCAUUUCAGCUUCACUACUUUCCCCUGACCACUGGGAUGUUCAAAAGAGAAGCAUUCAAACUGGUAUCUUGGAAGUGGAUUAAUUUCAGCUUGACAAAGUCGGAGUGGGGUUCAAAAUCAACCUUAAAAUGGAAGAUCUUGCAUAAAGCUAAAUUAUGGAAGAGCUUCUCCAUCUUGUAUUUUCCCUCAGCCAGCUGACAAUAACUGUGUCUCUACUACUGGACAUCUAGAAAACCAAAGCCAAAAAACAGAAAGACAAAUGCCAAAGCCAAACCAAAAGACAAGAAACAGAGACAGCAAAGAAGACAGAGAAAGAAGAAAACAAAACUACCUCACAUACAGACCUUACUCUGAAAGCCCACUGAUAAGACAAAUAGCCUCUGUUAAAGACAGUUUCAACAUUUGGAGAUGACCGAAGCAGCAGAAGUGGCAAAGCACCUAACCUGACCUACUGUCAAGAAAAGCUAAUAAAAAGAAGAUGGGAAAAAUAUGGCAAGCUUGUCACUUAAAAAAGUAAUUUUUAAUACCAAGUGUAUGCAAACCAACAAAAUACUCAGAAGUUGGAUCAGAUCCAUAUCAAAGUAACUCAGCCUAUAAUUACAAGAGAAUCAAAAAACACCAAAGUGCAUAAUAAAGAUACUGUAGAGUACUUUGUCUUUUGUGGAGCAAGCCCAUUCAUACCACCAAAUAAGGAAAAAAAAAAAAAAAAAAAACACGUUAAAAGGAGCUCAGCAUAAUGAUUACCAAAAGGCAACCAUAAUGGAUGGGAAUGGGCAGAACUGGGAAGGACAGAAGAAAAUGGUCUGAAAUUAAUAGCAGUAGUGAGUGAAAAAAAUG